Molecule: ribosomal RNA, 429 nt
Filed under: Gemmatimonadota bacterium
Lineage: Bacteria; Pseudomonadati; Gemmatimonadota
Description: Gemmatimonadetes bacterium partial 16S ribosomal RNA
Rfam family: Bacterial small subunit ribosomal RNA
Source: RNAcentral
UAGGGAAUCUUCGGCAAUGGACGAAAGUCUGACCGAGCAACGCCGCGUGAGUGAAGAAGGUUUUCGGAUCGUAAAACUCUGUUGUUAGAGAAGAACAAGGACGUUAGUAACUGAACGUCCCCUGACGGUAUCUAACCAGAAAGCCACGGCUAACUACGUGCCAGCAGCCGCGGUAAUACGUAGGUGGCAAGCGUUGUCCGGAUUUAUUGGGCGUAAAGCGAGCGCAGGCGGUUUCUUAAGUCUGAUGUGAAAGCCCCCGGCUCAACCGGGGAGGGUCAUUGGAAACUGGGAGACUUGAGUGCAGAAGAGGAGAGUGGAAUUCCAUGUGUAGCGGUGAAAUGCGUAGAUAUAUGGAGGAACACCAGUGGCGAAGGCGGCUCUCUGGUCUGUAACUGACGCUGGGGCUCGAGAGCGUGGGGAGCAAACAAG